RNAcentral lists this long non-coding RNA (446 nucleotides) under Fukomys damarensis (Damara mole-rat). RNAcentral describes it as "lncRNA (ENSFDAG00000033306.1)". The record is from RNAcentral. Lineage: Eukaryota; Metazoa; Chordata; Mammalia; Rodentia; Bathyergidae.
GGGGGGAGGUAGAUGCUGAGGUGGAAGGACAAGGUGUAGGAGCACACAGGAGACUUUAACCAGACCAGUGAUAUUUUCCUUCUCAAACUUGGCAGGGAAGCCUCUCUGUGGAAAUGUUCCCAAUGACUUUUGAGCCCCUGGGAUAGAGUACUGCUCUUUUUUGGAAAGGAGCAAUGUGUCAAGGCUGAGGACGCUAGGAAGCUCGUAUGCUGCUGAAUUUGCCACUGUGGCAGAGGGCAAGAGCCAGUUCCAACCACGUGGCUGCAAGCAACAAACAUCCUGGAGAUGACGAAACGGAAGAAAAAAGCUGGGUAGCCUCAGGGAGGAUCAGUGCUUCCCCACCGGGUCACCUAUCCCCUGAGGACACUCAUCUUACCCACUACAUUUCAGAUGUCUUUGUUACAUAGUAUCGUCUGAACUGUAACCAAUAAAUGAUUUUGGACAAC